GGGAUGAGUAAAGUGGCGAACGGGUGAGUAACACGUGACUAACCUGCCCUAGAGUGGGGAAUAACCUCGGGAAACCGGGGCUAAUACCGCAUAACAUCCCAGGUCGAGACGCCUGGGAUCAAACGGGAAACUGGCUCUUGGAGGGGGUCGCGGCCGAUUAGCUAGUUGGUGGGGUAACGGCCCACCAAGGCGACGAUCGGUAGCCGGCCUGAGAGGGCGCACGGCCACACUGGAACUGAAACACGGUCCAGACUCCUACGGGAGGCAGCAGUGGGGAAUUUUGCGCAAUGGGGGAAACCCUGACGCAGCAACGCCGCGUGGAGAAUGAAGCCCUUUGGGGCGUAAACUCCUUUCGACCGGGACGAUAAUGACGGUACCGGGAGAAGAAGCACCGGCUAACUCUGUGCCAGCAGCCGCGGUAAUACAGAGGGUGCAAGCGUUGUUCGGAAUUAUUGGGCGUAAAGGGCGCGUAGGCGGUGCGGUAAGUCUGUGGUGAAAUCUCUGGGCUCAACUCAGAGUCUGCCGUGGAAACUGCCGUGCUGGAGUGUGGGAGAGGUGAGUGGAAUUCCCGG
RNAcentral lists this ribosomal RNA (572 nucleotides) under uncultured bacterium. RNAcentral describes it as "bacterial SSU rRNA". It matches the Rfam family "Bacterial small subunit ribosomal RNA", at positions 83 to 673 of the family's 1533-position model. The record is from RNAcentral.